Leptinotarsa decemlineata (Colorado potato beetle) is the source of this 796-nucleotide long non-coding RNA. RefSeq lists it as uncharacterized. The record is from RefSeq and is a predicted model, not a curated record. NCBI's taxonomy places the organism in Eukaryota, Metazoa, Arthropoda, Insecta, Coleoptera, Chrysomelidae.
UUCAAAUCAACUUCUUUGAGUCUUCUUAUUACUGUUUUGAUACUCAUGUCAACUUGUCUUGUGCUCAGUAAAUGAUUAUUGAGAUUCGGAUGAAAGCGUGCGAUUUCGCAAAGAUUGAAUUCUCAAAAUAUUGGUCAUCUCUUGGCGUUGUACAUCUCUAAUUUCCAAAACCAGGCCGCCUUUUAUACUCACCAUUCUCCUUGUACCGCUUCAUGAUACGAGAAACAGUCGAUCGAUGGAUAUGCAAUCUCCGCGCAUCAACUUCUUGUCUGUAUCCCUCAUUGACUAAAGUAACAAUUUUAACAUAAACGAAUUCGGUCAAAUGCGUCAUCCCACUAAGAAAACUAUAGAAUCAAGACAUAAAUCAAUCAGAAUGUCAUUUUGACAUCAAUUGGAGCCCAUGGAAAAAAUUAACAUGAUAAAAAUUCUUGAAAUGAAAUAUGCAAAAUUUUUGUUCGAGAGUGUAGAUAUUUUAUACCACAUGGUUUCCACCCUCCUGUCAGGAAAAGGUAAAGAUUCAUCCACCUCUUCAUCACACGUGAUAUAUAGGAAGAGCUGAAAAUAUGUCAUCAACAUAUCGUUUAUUUUGAAAUUUUGACCAAUAUGAAGCCAUGGGAGUUACAGAAAUCUGUUUAUAAUAUUGAAUUCAGAAAAUUUGACUCAUAAAUGAAUUUAACUAAACGGAAUUUUUUUUUUGUCUAAAGGUGUAUAUUACCUUCACUUGAAUCAUACUCAAUGCUUUGAACUAUUGAUUUCAAUAAGGGAUUUGUGAAUAAAGAAAUAGCAUUGAAACUUA